RNAcentral lists this ribosomal RNA (120 nucleotides) under uncultured bacterium. RNAcentral's name for it is "partial 16S ribosomal RNA". It matches the Rfam family "Bacterial small subunit ribosomal RNA", at positions 215 to 334 of the family's 1533-position model. The record is from RNAcentral.
CCGUGCAGGGAGGGGCUCGCGGCCUAUCAGCUAGUUGGUGAGGUGACGGCUCACCAAGGCGACGACGGGUAGGGGGUCUGAGAGGAUGGCCCCCCACAUUGGGACUGAGACACGGCCCAG